This 1405-nucleotide long non-coding RNA is filed under the name Sus scrofa (pig). RNAcentral describes it as "lncRNA (ENSSSCG00070016465.1)". Lineage: Eukaryota; Metazoa; Chordata; Mammalia; Artiodactyla; Suidae. The record is from RNAcentral.
GCCCCCCCCCUCAAAAAAAAUGUCUUAGGCACAUAUGUACUUCUGCUCUGAUACACUUUUCAGUGCUAAGACACAGUUCAGUGAAUAUCAUUUAGGAAUCAUUUAGAAAAAAUGAAAUGAAUGAAAUACGCAUUUUACAAUCUUCACAGGACCGAAGAGAGGCUGGCUGAGACCGCCGCUCAACUUCAGGUGGUGAGAGAGCUAAAUAGACCUCAAGCUUUGACUACAAGACCAGUCCUGGAGCCACCUCGUGCUGGAAAUCUUCAUACCAUUUCAGUGUUUAGUGGAAAUCUUACUCCAAGAGAAAACUCAGUGGCUUCUACCGCACGUUCACAUCCUCCAAAUAACAGCAUCGAUGCUUUCUUGACCAAGAAGCUAUGGCUUUCACAAGAUCUAUCUAGGUAAGUUGUCACAUUAUUCAUUUUAUUCGGCCUCUCUGUAAUGCUGUUGUAAGAAAAAUGUUAUGGAAAACAUUCUAAAAAUAUUGGAACCUAUGUUAGCUAAACCAAGGGUGUUGCCUGUCAUGUUGUCACUAUCAGCACAGUGUUAGGUUCAGGAUACUAUUUUAGACACUGUUUAGUGAGAGAGUGCCUUUCAUAAGAAAAACCUUAAAAAGGACACUCCAGGUAGAGACACUUGUAAUAUAGUUUGAAAUAUUCCCACACAUUACAAAAUGAAGUAGAGAGCUAUCAUUUGAUGUUGCCGAAAACUGGCCCUAAUUUCUAGAAUGAAACAAAAUUACAGGUAAAGAAUCAAAGAAUCCUGUAUUGUUUUCCUUGUUUCUAAUUCUAGAAAGCCAUGAGUCCGAAACCCAGUUUGAAAACUGGUUUUAGCUCCUCUUCUUCCUUUCUUCAAGCAGAUUUUUAUUUUCAUGUUUAUUUAUUUUUUUGCCAGUAGAGUUUUCACAUGCCAUUGCAACAGAAAUGGCACUUCAUUUUAUGGAUUUAAGAUUCUGUGUUGACAAGUUCUUAAUUGACAUAGGGCAUGCCUUAAAAUCUUAGUUCCAUAAAAGUAGAGGGACAGAGAGCUCAUUUUAAGGAAAACUCCUUUGAUUAAACUUUUAUAAAGGCCAGUUUUCCUAAAAAUUGCAAAGUAAAGCAUUUGUUGAAAUGCCCUGAUACCAGAAAGAUCAAACAGCAUCCUCUGAAAUUAUGUAUAUUCGGUUGACCAAUAUAUAUAUUACUUUUUAUCAGAUUAAUCUUAAUAGCAUUACGUAUGUAUGUUCUCUACUAUCUACAAUCCAAAUAAGUGGGAAUUUAUUUUAUUUUAUUCAUGUGACUAAUUUUCUAUUUGAGCAAUCUCUAAGUUAGAUCAACUCUCUAAAAGUAUUAUUUAUAGGCCACAUUUCAUAAGCUAUAUGUCUUUUAUAUGAUACUGUCUCUUAACCUAAACAUUUUAAAUACUA